CGGACUGUGGUCUGCAACCCGACCACACGAAGCUGGAAUCGCUAGUAAUCGCGAAUCAGAAUGCCGCGGUGAAUACGUUCCCGGGCCUUGUACACACCGCCCGUCACACCAUGGGAGCCGGUAAUACCCGAAGCCAGUAGUCUAACCGCAAGGGGGACGCUGUCGAAGGUAGGAUUGGCGACUGGGGUGAAGUCGUAACAAGGUAGC
Molecule: ribosomal RNA, 207 nt
Filed under: uncultured bacterium
Lineage: Bacteria
Description: partial 16S ribosomal RNA
Rfam family: Bacterial small subunit ribosomal RNA
Source: RNAcentral